UUGGAGGGCAAGUCUGGUGCCAGCAGCCGCGGUAAUUCCAGCUCCAAUAGCGUAUAUUAAAGUUGUUGCAGUUAAAAAGCUCGUAGUUGAAUUUCGGAAUCAGUACGUUGGUCAUGCCCUAGGUAUGCACUGGCGUCACAGGUUUCUCCCUUCUGACGAACCGUGAUGUCAUUAAUUUGGUGUUGCGGGAAAUCAGGACUGUUACUUUGAAAAAAUUAGAGUGUUUAAAGCAGGCUCACGCUUGAAUACAUUAGCAUGGAAUAAUGAAAUAGGACGUUUGAUUCUAUUUUGUUGGUUUCUAGGAUCGACGUAAUGAUUAAUAGGGAUAGUUGGGGGCAUUAGUAUUCAAUUGUCAGAGGUGAAAUUCUUGGAUUUAUUGAAGACUAACUACUGCGAAAGCAUUUGCCAAGGAUGUUUUCAUUAAUCAAGAACGAAAGUUAGGGGAUCGAAGACGAUCAGAUACCGUCGUAGUCUUAACCAUAAACUAUGCCGACUAGGGAUCGGAUGAUGUUAACUUUAUGAUGACUCAUUCGGCGCCUUACGGGAAAC
Molecule: ribosomal RNA, 549 nt
Filed under: uncultured Glomeromycotina
Lineage: Eukaryota; Fungi; Glomeromycota
Description: SSU rRNA
Rfam family: Eukaryotic small subunit ribosomal RNA
Source: RNAcentral